This 1496-nucleotide long non-coding RNA is filed under the name Linum usitatissimum (flax). RNAcentral's name for it is "long non-coding RNA (LUSI_LNC006536)". The record is from RNAcentral. Lineage: Eukaryota; Viridiplantae; Streptophyta; Magnoliopsida; Malpighiales; Linaceae.
UAACUUUUGAUAAUCGAUUUGGUUUCCGGUAAUACCAAAAAAAAUAUUAUAAAAUAAAUAAAAAAUUUACAAAAAAUAACUUACGGCUUUAUUGGUCUUAUCUUAUCUCAAUAAUUAGCCAAUUUCGAAUCCUCACUCCUCUUUCUCAAUCUCACAGUCACAUUCACGACACAGACUGAUAUGAAACCUAUAUCUAAUUGAUUCUCCCAUCUUCUCAAUCGUCUUCAAUCUUCUUUUCAAUCUGGUCGCCUUCUUCAAUCUUCUCCGAGUCACGGACUCUCGUCGGUUUUUGCUGUCAUCGAUCCCCUGCUCGAAGUUUUAACAUGAUGUUGACAUUAGUUCCCAACUCCGACGUUGUAGAAAAAAGUCGCUGGUCGAGGCCGUAGCACAAACUCGACGUCGACUCCUGACCAGUUGCAGAGGAGCACAUGUCCCACCUCUGACUCAUCGACACCAGUUCACCAUUUAUUUCCAUACUCGACAACUCAUCUUGGGUCUCCGAUCUCCGACUUGUCAACACCAGUUCACCUCUGAUUUCCAAACUCGCCAACUCCAUCACCGAUACCAGUUCACCUCCAAUUUCCAGACUCGUCGACUCAUCGAGCAAAGGCAUUAUGUAAGUUUUUGAACCCUGAUUGAAAUUGAUUUGCAAAUCGCAAUUGACAUUGAAAUUGUUUGAAAUUGAAACUAUUUGUAGUUGUAGACUUGGUAACAGAAGGUAUCGUUUUGGUAGUUGUAACAGAAGAUAGUUGUUCUUUCCACAACCGUAUUGUUUUGAUUUGCAAAUGACAAUUGUAUAGCUAAUUUGACAGUAUUGUUCUUUUUGUUUUUGGUUCCAAGCUAUGGUGGAUACAAGAUUGUUUUGAAUAAAAUUAAUAUCUCAUUAUUUAUCGAACAAUUGAUUUCAGAUCAGGAAUAGCUGCUCCUAGUACAACUAUAGAGUCAACUGGUUCAGCUCCUAAAAGGAGUUAGCCUAAUAAGAAAAGGUCAUUGUAUUGGAUUCAUAUGAGUGUGUUGUAGAUGAAAACAUGCUGGAGAAAGCUAAGUGCAAAUACUGCAAGACUCUCAUAUGUGCCAACCGGCCAGUAAUGGAACAUUCAGGUUAAAAGCACACUACAAUAGGUGUUCUAAAAGGUUUGAUGAUGACCAAAUGGUUUUAAAUCUCCAAGGAACUAGAGGAGAUGGUGUGCAAGGGAUUCAGUUUGAGGAUUGAUGCGUGUGUUGUCAAAUCUCAAUUGGUUAUCAGAUGUCUCUUUCCUUGUGUUUUUGGAUAUCUAGUAUUUACUAUGAUGGAUUUUGGAUUGAUGGAUUGUGUUGGUGGUUGAACAUGAACACUUAGAAUGUUAUGUUGAAAGUAAUGAAGCAAGUUCUUUUGAGACGAAAAAAAAUCUAACAAAUUUCUAUUCAAGACAGCCAAGCAAGAAUAAGAAGGGAAACAAUAUUAAACAUAAACCAAAAUCCAUCCAACUCACAUAAAUCAUCAAAGUCAAACAAUC